AAGACUAUACUUUUAGGGAUCAUUUCUUUAGUCCAUUAUUAGAGAAGUCUCUUUGAUAGUGCACAACACCAAAACCAUGAGGAAAAGUCAGAGCAUCCUUUCCUGAGCAUGACGCCAGUUCUAGGUGAUGCUUUUCCAACUACCUUUUACCAAUUAUGAUCAUUUUUUCUCUUUCUUUGGAAGAAGGUGAGGGAGAGAAUGCAGUUUGAGUGUU
This is a small nucleolar RNA of Sorex fumeus (smoky shrew), 214 nucleotides long. RefSeq annotates it as small nucleolar RNA U3. NCBI's taxonomy places the organism in Eukaryota, Metazoa, Chordata, Mammalia, Eulipotyphla, Soricidae. The record is from RefSeq and is a predicted model, not a curated record. The transcript has a single exon.